AGGGGGCAAGCGUUAUCCGGAUUUACUGGGUGUAAAGGGAGCGCAGGCGGCAGCCCAAGUCUGAUGUGAAAGCCCGGGGCCCAACCCCGGGACUGCAUUGGAAACUGGGCAGCUGGAGUGCCGGAGGGGUAAGCGGAAUUCCUAGUGUAGCGGUGAAAUGCGUAGAUAUUAGGAGGAACACCAGUGGCGAAGGCGGCUUACUGGACGGCAACUGACGCUGAGGCUCGAAAGCGUGGGGAGCAA
This 243-nucleotide ribosomal RNA is filed under the name uncultured bacterium. RNAcentral's name for it is "partial 16S ribosomal RNA". It matches the Rfam family "Bacterial small subunit ribosomal RNA", at positions 529 to 771 of the family's 1533-position model. The record is from RNAcentral.